GAUGAACGCUGGCGGCGUGCCUAAUACAUGCAAGUCGAGCGAACAGACGAGGAGCUUGCUCCUCUGACGUUAGCGGCGGACGGGUGAGCAACACGUGGAUAACCUACCUAUAAGACUGGGAUAACUUCGGGAAACCGGAGCUAAUACCGGAUAACAUGUUGAACCGCAUGGUUUAACAGUGAAAGACGGUCUUGCUGUCACUUAUAGAUGGAUCCGCGCCGCAUUAGCUAUUUGGUAAGGUAACGGCUUACCAAGGCAACGAUGCGUAGCCGACCUGAGAGGGUGAUCGGCCACACUGGAACUGAGACACGGUCCAGACUCCUACGGGAGGCAGCAGUAGGGAAUCUUCCGCAAUGGGCGAAAGCCUGACGGAGCAACGCCGCGUGAGUGAAGAAGGUCUUCGGAUCGUAAAACUCUGUUAUUAGGGAAGAACAAAUGUGUAAGUAACUAUGCACGUCUUGACGGUACCUAAUCAGAAAGCCACGGCUAACUACGUG
This 497-nucleotide ribosomal RNA is filed under the name uncultured bacterium. RNAcentral describes it as "partial 16S ribosomal RNA". It matches the Rfam family "Bacterial small subunit ribosomal RNA", at positions 28 to 507 of the family's 1533-position model. The record is from RNAcentral.